Molecule: ribosomal RNA, 1064 nt
Filed under: Klebsiella oxytoca
Lineage: Bacteria; Pseudomonadati; Pseudomonadota; Gammaproteobacteria; Enterobacterales; Enterobacteriaceae
Description: partial 23S ribosomal RNA
Rfam family: Bacterial large subunit ribosomal RNA
Source: RNAcentral
CGAGUCUUAACUGGGCGUUAAGUUGCAGGGUAUAGACCCGAAACCCGGUGAUCUAGCCAUGGGCAGGUUGAAGGUUGGGUAACACUAACUGGAGGACCGAACCGACUAAUGUUGAAAAAUUAGCGGAUGACUUGUGGCUGGGGGUGAAAGGCCAAUCAAACCGGGAGAUAGCUGGUUCUCCCCGAAAGCUAUUUAGGUAGCGCCUCGUGAACUCAUCUUCGGGGGUAGAGCACUGUUUCGGCUAGGGGGUCAUCCCGACUUACCAACCCGAUGCAAACUACGAAUACCGAAGAAUGUUAUCACGGGAGACACACGGCGGGUGCUAACGUCCGUCGUGAAGAGGGAAACAACCCAGACCGCCAGCUAAGGUCCCAAAGUCAUGGUUAAGUGGGAAACGAUGUGGGAAGGCCCAGACAGCCAGGAUGUUGGCUUAGAAGCAGCCAUCAUUUAAAGAAAGCGUAAUAGCUCACUGGUCGAGUCGGCCUGCGCGGAAGAUGUAACGGGGCUAAACCAUGCACCGAAGCUGCGGCAGCGACGCUUAUGCGUUGUUGGGUAGGGGAGCGUUCUGUAAGCCGUUGAAGGUGGCCUGUGAGGGUUGCUGGAGGUAUCAGAAGUGCGAAUGCUGACAUAAGUAACGAUAAUGCGGGUGAAAAACCCGCACGCCGGAAGACCAAGGGUUCCUGUCCAACGUUAAUCGGGGCAGGGUGAGUCGACCCCUAAGGCGAGGCCGAAAGGCGUAGUCGAUGGGAAACAGGUUAAUAUUCCUGUACUUGGUGUUACUGCGAAGGGGGGACGGAGAAGGCUAUGUUGGCCGGGCGACGGUUGUCCCGGUUUAAGCAUGUAGGCGGAUGUUCCAGGUAAAUCCGGAACGUUAUUAACGCUGAGGUGUGAUGACGAGGCACUACGGUGCUGAAGUGACAAAUGCCCUGCUUCCAGGAAAAGCCUCUAAGCAUCAGGUAACAUCAAAUCGUACCCCAAACCGACACAGGUGGUCAGGUAGAGAAUACCAAGGCGCUUGAGAGAACUCGGGUGAAGGAACUAGGCAAAAUGGUGCCGUAACUUCG